ACGCCGUAANCGAUGAGUGCUAGGUGUUAGGCCCUUUCCGGGGCUUAGUGCCGCAGCUAACGCAUUAAGCACUCCGCCUGGGGAGUACGACCGCAAGGUUGAAACUCAAAGGAAUUGACGGGGGCCCGCACAAGCGGUGGAGCAUGUGGUUUAAUUCGAAGCAACGCGAAGAACCUUACCAGGUCUUGACAUCCCGAUGCCCGCUCUAGAGAUAGAGUUUUACUUCGGUACAUCGGUGACAGGUGGUGCAUGGUUGUCGUCAGCUCGUGUCGUGAGAUGUUGGGUUAAGUCCCGCAACGAGCGCAACCCUUAUUGUUAGUUGCCAUCAUUCAGUUGGGCACUCUAGCGAGACUGCCGGUAAUAAACCGGAGGAAGGUGGGGAUGACGUCAAAUCAUCAUGCCCCUUAUGACCUGGGCUACACACGUGCUACAAUGGCUGGUACAACGAGUCGCAAGUCGGUGACGGCAAGCUAAUCUCUUAAAGCCAGUCUCAGUUCGGAUUGUAGGCUGCAACUCGCCUACAUGAAGUCGGAAUCGCUAGUAAUCGCGGAUCAGCACGCCGCGGUGAAUACGUUCCCGGGCCUUGUACACACCGCCCGUCACACCACGAGAGUUUGUANCACC
Molecule: ribosomal RNA, 624 nt
Filed under: uncultured bacterium
Lineage: Bacteria
Description: bacterial SSU rRNA
Rfam family: Bacterial small subunit ribosomal RNA
Source: RNAcentral